Molecule: non-coding RNA, 147 nt
Filed under: Salisediminibacterium beveridgei
Lineage: Bacteria; Bacillati; Bacillota; Bacilli; Caryophanales; Bacillaceae
Description: Bacillus beveridgei FMN sequence
Rfam family: FMN riboswitch aptamer (RFN element)
About the family: The RFN element is a highly conserved domain that is found frequently in the 5'-untranslated regions of prokaryotic mRNAs that encode for flavin mononucleotide (FMN) biosynthesis and transport proteins. This element is a metabolite-dependent riboswitch that directly binds FMN in the absence of proteins.
Source: Rfam by way of RNAcentral
UCAUUUCUUCGGGGUCGGGUGAAAUUCCCAACCGGCGGUGAUAGAGCAAAUGCUUUUAAGUCCGUGACCCGUGAGCAGCAACAAGCUCCCGGUGGAUUUGGUGUAAUUCCAAAGCCGACAGUAGAGUCUGGAUGGGAGAAGAAAUGA